This 129-nucleotide non-coding RNA is filed under the name unclassified sequences. Its description in RNAcentral is "NiCo sequence". It matches the Rfam family "NiCo (Nickel/Cobalt) riboswitch aptamer". The record is from RNAcentral.
ACAGUACAAACUGAGCAGGCGAUGCUUUUCGGAAUCGAAAAUAUUUAUCGAAGGCAUGGGGCCGGGCCGCAGGAAGCGGCAGCGGAUAUGGAAUGUGACUUUGCUUUCAGACAUAUCUGCGGGACAGUG